GCGUUUGUGGUUUAGUGGUAAAAUCCAUCGUUGCCAUAAUCAGAAGAUAUAUAUCUUCUGAACAGUAUCGAUGGGCCCCGGGUUCGAUUCCCGGCGAACGCA
This is a non-coding RNA of Hyaloscypha variabilis F, 102 nucleotides long. Lineage: Eukaryota; Fungi; Ascomycota; Leotiomycetes; Helotiales; Hyaloscyphaceae. The record is from the annotation of a GenBank genome assembly.